AGAGGCUUAAGAGCUGUUCUGAAUGAGAUAGAUUGAUUUAUGAGACAAGAAUUCAGAAAAAGAAGAAAUUGCUGGGAAUAUUUCACAGAUGGAGCAAUGGAAGGGUUGGGCUUUUGGAAAAAGUCCACAGUAUAACCCAAGGCAUGAAGCACAUCUUGUAAGAGGACCAAUUAGGGAGUAGCCUGACGAAAGAAUUGGGAAGUAAUAUGAAAUGUGAGUUCCAGUCUUCACAUGGGAAUCCUAGUCACUUAUCAGCAAGCUGGGCAGGAUCCAGGCAAGGUCCCAAUGUAGAAAAACCUUCAUGAGCUGGUCCCAGUCUCUUUACUUCCUGUUUGCGACUGUGGUGAAGUUACUUCACUCUAUAUCCUUGUUGGUUCUGUUACUCCAAUAUCCAUUUUGAGGCAUCAUUUUAAGGUUGGUUUGAGAAGGAUUCUAAGAAUAAUUCCAGCUUUCCCUGCAACUCCACCAUCUUGACUCUGCCCCUCUCCAGUAAAGUUAUACUUUUCUUGGUCAUCAAGAUCCUUCUGUUUGCUAGAGAGCAUGAAAAUGAUCAUAGUUGCUAUGAAAAAUUAUCCUGGAGACUGCAUCUCUUAGGAAAUCAUAAAAGGAAGAGAUACAUAUGGACUGGUGAAGAUAAGAGAACAUUUCAUGAAAGACAUUAUAAUAAAAUGCUUUAUGCAA
RNAcentral lists this long non-coding RNA (681 nucleotides) under Monodelphis domestica (gray short-tailed opossum). Its description in RNAcentral is "lncRNA (ENSMODG00000038751.1)". Lineage: Eukaryota; Metazoa; Chordata; Mammalia; Didelphimorphia; Didelphidae. The record is from RNAcentral.